AGCAGCCGCGGUAAUUCCAGCUCCAAUAGCGUAUAUUAAAGUUGUUGCAGUUAAAAAGCUCGUAGUUGAAUUUCGGGAUUGACGUGAUGGUCGUGCCUUAAGGGGUAUGAACUGUCGCUGUUGAUUUCUCACCUUCUGGAGAAACUUGAUGUCCUUAAUUGGGUGUCUUGCGGAUCCAGGACCUUUACCUUGAAAAAAUUAGAGUGUUUAAAGCAGGCAUUUUUGCUCGAAUACAUUAGCAUGGAAUAAUAGAAUAGGACGGCAUGGUUCUAUUUUGUUGGUUUCUAGGAUCACCGUAAUGAUUAAUAGGGAUAGUUGGGGGCAUUAGUAUUCAAUUGUCAGAGGUGAAAUUCUUGGAUUUAUUGAAGACUAACUACUGCGAAAGCAUUUGCCAAGGAUGUUUUCAUUAAUCAAGAACGAAAGUUAGGGGAUCGAAGACGAUCAGAUACCGUCGUAGUCUUAACCAUAAACUAUGCCGACUAGGAAUCAGACGAUGUUAAUUUUUUAAUGACU
This 513-nucleotide ribosomal RNA is filed under the name uncultured Entrophospora. Its description in RNAcentral is "SSU rRNA". It matches the Rfam family "Eukaryotic small subunit ribosomal RNA", at positions 569 to 1076 of the family's 1831-position model. The record is from RNAcentral. Lineage: Eukaryota; Fungi; Glomeromycota; Glomeromycetes; Entrophosporales; Entrophosporaceae.